This 121-nucleotide ribosomal RNA is filed under the name Esox lucius (northern pike). Lineage: Eukaryota; Metazoa; Chordata; Actinopteri; Esociformes; Esocidae. The record is from RNAcentral.
GUUUACAGCCACACCUCCCUCCGCCCGCCCAAUCUCAACUGAUCUCAGAAGCUAAGCAGGGUCAGGCCUGCUUAAUACUUGGAUGGGAGACCGCCUGGGAAUCUCAGGUGUGCUGUAAGCC